CUGUUAGCAUCUUUAGCUGGUGCAGUUAUGGAGGGUGGAGAUUUGGAAUUUUUAGUUAUAAUAAAUAGUUUUACUAAACUACCACUACAGCAGCAAUUGAGAGAUUAAAUCUUAUGGAAGACCAACGACAAAACUGGAGCUGGGCGUGGAGAGAAAAAAAGGGGUUUUGGACGUUCAAUGAGGAAAACUAUAUCUGUACAGAGUGGCUAGCUAGUAGCGCCAAACUUUGACUGACUCUGUUGUCGAGGAGGACGUAAAAGCCAGUGGGAAAUUCUAUAACUUGGUUAUUGACCACUUAGCCACCAUGAAAGACAAGAGAAUGCUCUUCCUUUUCAAAUAGGGAUGAACUUGAUGAAGUCGUGACAACCUGGACUUCCCAUUGACAACAUUCGUGUCAAGCCAGGCCAUGGUGUGAUAGGAGGUCGCCCUAUUGUGCUACACAGUUCCAGAGAUAGACAGUUGACAUGGAGGAAUUGGCCCUUUAUAAGGAGUAGUGCACCGCCAAAAGCCAAUACCCAUGUGAUGAAACUGUAUUUGAUCUCUGCUGUCUUCUGAUGCAGGAAAAAGGAUGGGAUGCGCCCAGAGAUGUGUUUUCCGCUGCUGAACUCUACACCUUAUUGAGAACUGAAAUAGGCCUACUGCUAAAUAUCUGAGGGGUGGACAACUCUCUGCAGUUUGUAUGUUGUGUCAUGGUAGCAAUUCCUUUUGCGGCUACCCUGUUUACAGCUAUGACAAGGUGGCAACAGGACAGAGAGGUCAGCCCAACAGCAGAAUCUUCGUCUUUGAACACUGGUCUCAACCUUUAUGGGACCCUGAAGGCCUACUGUGGAUCAUAUGUUGACACUCUACAGAGUAUACAUUAAACAACCUGGAUAACUACAAAAACUGGAAGGUGCCAGUUUUAGCUCUUUCUACAGCAGCUUUUGUGGUCUAGGGGUCUGCUUAGUGCAAGGUCUCUGCUGGGCUCCAUCAACAGAGCUGAAGACAAACUGAGCAUCAGUUUGGUGGCCAACUAUCUUUUCAAGAGGAUUAAAAGGUACAGUAUGAUGAUAAUUUCAACAAAUUAAGUUAUAGCAAUAAAAACAGAUUUAGAAGCUCUUCUUUGUGCUGACGUGCUGCGGUAAGUGACUCAUUUCCGUUUCCGGUGCUUAUGUGUUGGUAGCGUGUUUUGCUGCUCCAACUAAACACCAAAUACCAGUUAAAUUUGUUAGAUUUGACAUUACAGCGGCUAACUGCGCCAAACACUCAUCCUCACAGUAGUUCUGCCUAAGCACUCACAGUUCUUUCCAUCUUUUAGUGACUCUCGUUAAAUUUCGUAGUUGCUUUCGAAAGUUUUGCAAACAUGACGGUGCUCUCCAAGACCUUCUCAGAGCCAUCUUACUCCCUACACAGAUAGUAGUAAUAAAAUGCAAAGGAUACCAAAACUCAACCUCACCUGUAGCUAAAGGAAAUGAUGCAGCAGACAAAGCAUCUAAACAAGCAGGAGGUUAUAACAGACAAUUGAUAUGUCUACAGACAGAGAACAGCCCCAAACUAACCAAAGAACACAUACAGAGAAUGCAAGAACAGGCAGGCCCCUAUGAACAAAAUCAGUGGCUUUCAAAAGGCGCAAAACAAACAGAUGAAGGUAUUUGGAGAACAUGUGAUGGUCAUUUGGUGGCACCUGCAGAACUCAGUCAUUUGUUAAUUAAAGAAGCCCAUGGGCCCACCCAUGUUGGUUGAAAAAGAACCACUAAAGAAGUGGAGAUUCAUUGGUGGUAUCCUUACAUGAAAGUAGAAAACUUUGUUAACGACUGUGGGAAAUGCAAUGCUUUCUAUGACAGGAGACCUUACAAAUGUCCAAUGGGACGUUUCCCGUUCCAGAUGCUCCAUUUAAAGAAAUCUGUAUAGACUUCACAGACAUGGGGGCAGAUAAUGUAGUAAGAGGGCACAGAUACAUUUUGGUUAUGGUAGACUUUUACACCAAAUGGAUUAAAGCUAUCCCAUGUAAAAAAAGAAGACGCACACGCAAGAAUUGGUGAAGGGAGCUAACCAAACAUUGAAAAGAAAAAUUGCCAAAGCCUGUCAUAACACCAUAAUGAACUGGGUAGAUGCACUGCCCCUGGCACUAAUGUCCAUGGGAACAUCACAGAGUGGCAAAACUCACCUGUCUCCCCACGAGUUGUUGACAGGCAGGCCAAUGCCAGGGCCACCCAGAGAUGGAGGUCUGGGUCCAGUGUUGGACUUACGGCUGAUAGAAGUAGGAGAUUAUAUGAAGGCCCUUGCUAAACUUACUCGAGUUUUGUCUUCACAGGUCCAAAUUGCUACCAAAGCACCGCGGAACAAAACAGAGACUCCUGCUGGGUCUGGAGAAUGGGUGUGGGUGAAAGUUCACAAGAGAAAGUGGGCUGAACCCAGGUGGACAGGACCGUGGGAAGUGAUUUGGCACCACCUUACACAUUGUACACCCGCUCAAGCCCCCUCCUGAUCAAUAGAGGAGGUUAGAACUGAUUUGGCCACGCUGUGAACAAAAAUAGAUUUUUGAUUGGCAUUAUGAAUUAGGAUUAUACACAGCAGAUCCAGGAAAUUUGACUCUGGUAGUUUACUUAAAACUGAAUCAUUCUUUGUUUAUAUUUUUUUAUUUAUUGUUUUUGUUUGUUUAGUUUUUCCUUCCACAUUUACUGAAAACUCAAUCAUUCUUUGUUUAUAUUUUUUAUUUAUUGUUUUUGUUUGUUUAGUUUUUCCU
Molecule: long non-coding RNA, 2725 nt
Organism: Micropterus salmoides (largemouth bass)
Lineage: Eukaryota; Metazoa; Chordata; Actinopteri; Centrarchiformes; Centrarchidae
Exons: 4
Source: RefSeq, a predicted model, not a curated record